This 492-nucleotide ribosomal RNA is filed under the name uncultured bacterium. Its description in RNAcentral is "partial 16S ribosomal RNA". It matches the Rfam family "Bacterial small subunit ribosomal RNA", at positions 29 to 507 of the family's 1533-position model. The record is from RNAcentral.
AGUGAACGCUGGCGGUAGGCCUAACACAUGCAAGUCGAACGGCAGCACAGUAAGAGCUUGCUCUUACGGGUGGCGAGUGGCGGACGGGUGAGGAAUACAUCGGAAUCUACUUUUUCGUGGGGGAUAACGUAGGGAAACUUACGCUAAUACCGCAUACGACCUACGGGUGAAAGCAGGGGAUCUUCGGACCUUUCGCGAUUGAAUGAGCCGAUGGCGGAUUAGCUAGUUGGCGGGGUAGAGGCCCACCAAGGCGACGAUCCGUAGCUGGUCUGAGAGGAUGAUCAGCCACACUGGAAGUGAGACACGGUCCAGACGCCUAGGGGAGGCAGCAGUGGGGAAUAGUGGGCAAGGGGCGGGAACCUGAUCCAGCCAGACCGCGUGGGUGAAGAAGACCUUCGGGUUGUAGAGCCCUUUUGUUGGGAAGGAAAAGCAGCAGGUUAAUACCGCGCUGUUCUGACGGUACCCAAAGAAUAAGCACCGGCUAACUUCGUG